CGUUGGCCUGGUGCGGGCCGCGCUGGCCGCCGGUGCCGUAGCCAUCGGUGGCCUGGGUGGAGGACGAGCUGCUGGUCGAAUCGGCAGCCAUCGC
Molecule: transfer RNA, 94 nt
Filed under: Arthrobacter sp. Bi26
Lineage: Bacteria; Bacillati; Actinomycetota; Actinomycetes; Micrococcales; Micrococcaceae
Description: tRNA-Tyr
Source: RNAcentral